Molecule: unclassified non-coding RNA, 1789 nt
Filed under: Neodiprion pinetum (white pine sawfly)
Lineage: Eukaryota; Metazoa; Arthropoda; Insecta; Hymenoptera; Diprionidae
Description: cytochrome P450 306a1, transcript variant X8
Source: RNAcentral
GCGACGCUACGCGUGAUAGAUUUGCCGACGUAAACAUCCAGGCGUUCAAAUAAUCGCAGUCAUCGAUCCUCCAGUCUUUGUUUCGAUACCUUCGCAAACGUCUGACGUCAUUUUCAUUUUCGUAACAAAGACGAACCUAAACACGGUACAACGCAAAGUUCGAUAUGUCGCUGGAAUACAUCGUGGCGCUUUGCCUGUUCCUCGCGGGUUUAGUCCUCGCGGUCUUCCUGCGCUCGAGGAGGACCGACGGCGUGCCACCUGGACCCUGGGGGUUGCCGAUCCUGGGUUUCCUGCCCUGGAUAAAUCCGGAUGCGCCACACGAGAGCUUCACAAUCCUGGCCCGCAAAUACGGCCCCGUCUGCGGACUGAGGCUGGGAUCCCUUUACACCGUGCUGAUCAGCGAAGCUCAUCUGGUGCGUCAGGCCCUCGCGAAGGAUUCGCUGUCCGGACGGGCCCCGCUCUUCGUUACUCACGGGAUAAUGCAUGGAUACGGGUUGAUUUGCGCGGACGGUGAUCUGUGGCGAGAGCAGCGAAAGUUCGUCGUUGGCUGUCUGAGGAAUCUCGGUAUGGUGAAGAUCGGGUCAAAACGGGACAAGAUGGAGUCCAGGAUCCUGACCGCGGUCGAAGAGAGCGUAUCGAAACUGAAGCAACGUUCGGCGAACGGAGGGGUCGAUCCUUAUCCGACCCUCCAUCACUGCAUGGGUAAUUUAAUGAACUUAUUGGUGUUCGGGAGAGUCUGGGAGGAGGAUGACGAGACCUGGAGAUGGUUACAGCGGCUACAGGAGGACGGAGUCAAGCACAUCGGAGUUGCCGGGCCGCUCAACUUUCUGCCGUUUUUGAGGCAUGUACCGAAGUACAAGAACAUGAUGAGAUUCCUCGUCGAGGGAAAGCUCAAGACCCACGAUGUCUAUCGUGCCAUUUCGGAGGAUCGCCGGAAGUCUGGAAGCGCGAGGGACUCCGUGCUCGCCAUGUUCGAGGAAGAAACCAAACGCAGACUGGCCUCAGGCGACAUUGGACACUUCAGCGAACCCCAGAAGCUACACUUGCUCGCCGAUCUCUUCGGCGCUGGAACUGACACAACAUUGACCACCCUGAGGUGGCUGCUUCUUUUCCUUGCCGCUUAUCCUCGCGAGCAGGAUGCCGCUCACAACGAGAUGAAGGCGGUGCUUGGACCGAGACCAGUCGAGCUCAAGGACCGGCCUGAUCUUCCACGUCUCGAAGCCGUCAUCGCGGAAACUCAGAGAAUCCGGAGCGUCGUUCCUGUCGGCAUACCACACGGUGCUCUUGAAGUACAUAUCGCCUGAUUAAUGCCAAUCGAAUAUUUUGUCCUUGACAAAACACGUUCCCUGCUACUUCUCGAUGUCACACCUUGUGGAAAGCGGAGAGCGAGGAGGCUUGAGUGGUUUUUAUCAAUUUCGUGUGAUUUUAGAGGUUUCUGUUCGCUUUUUGUUGUGCGUGAAGGUAUCUACGGAUUCAUUCCGUGUUACUCUGCUUUGUACGUUUUUAAUUUCUUUUGCAAAAUGCUUACCCUGCAACUGUCAAGUAGUUUAGGUAAAUUUGUUCAAGUUUUUACCGUCAGAGUGACUAUCGUCUACGUUGAUCUAGCGAGCCGUUCGUAGGUCUGUCUACUGCAGCACCAGUAACAAGCAAAGUGUUGUAACUGCGACUGUUUUUACGAUUCGGAAAUCGGCGGCUAUCUCAUACCCAAGGGAACGAUGAUCGUUCCUCUUCAAUGGGCGAUACACAUGGAUCCGAAAAAUUGGAAAGAUCCCGAGGAGUUUAGACCGGC